Molecule: long non-coding RNA, 1785 nt
Filed under: Bemisia tabaci
Lineage: Eukaryota; Metazoa; Arthropoda; Insecta; Hemiptera; Aleyrodidae
Description: lncRNA ENSSSA2NGG006580
Source: RNAcentral
AAUGAGACAUGGCAACGACGGGGUACGAUUUCAAAUGUAAACAAAAACAAACUAGAAACUAACCAAAAAUAUAAACUGAUCAAACAAACCCUCUGAACAAACCUGUCGUCGUCGUCCCGCAAUUUCUUGUCUACGUUUGUCAUCAACAAGACCUUUACUAUCUUUAUCUCAUCUUACACUAAAAUUCUUCUAAGUGACAAAUGAAGGUAAGCAUUUUAUUACCUCUUUUACUCACCAAAUACCUACCAAAUUAUCUUGACUUUACUGACUUAUCAAUCAAUGCAACUCCUUAUCUAUUUUAGUCAUAUGUAGGUACCCAUAAAUUUUCAAGACAGGUAUCAAGAGCAAUGCAGAUAAUUGUAAGCUCGAAUGAAGGUAAAUUGUCCUUUCCAAAGCAAAAUGUGCCAGAAAUCUUCAAAUUUGGUAUCUUAGAUGUGGUAAAAUAGUUUCACCAUUUCAUUGCCGUAGCAGAGUCUGUGUCAGCUAAGUUAACAUCUGCUGUUUCCUGCUUGCCGACUAGCAACUUUGCUGCUGUCAUUUAAUUUUGAUCAAGGGUUAAACCAGGGUGAUCCUGUUGUUGCCUUACACAGGUACCCAAACACUGUACGUUGUAUAAUAGUCAGAGGUAAGCAAGUUUCAACAAAUCCGAUACAAGCUUUAAACGUUUAACUACCCUGUGAUUUUUCAUUCUUGAUUAAAGUCUGGAAAUCCUUUCAAUCUUUACAGAGUCAGCUUUUAUUAAAUGCGUAAACCACAAAGAUGUCGGCCAAAUCUUCAAGUGGAAAGUCUGGAAAUGAUGAUGACAAAGCUCCAACAUCAGCCCGCACAGAAAAUAUCCGGAGAGGAAGACAAAAUGUACAGAAUGAAAUGAAAGAUCUAAUUAUUGAGAAGAAAUCUGAACUUUCAAAAGUGUUAAACGAAAUUAAAGGAGAUAUUGUUGAAAAACUUGAUGAAGAAGCAAUCAAAAGUACUUCGGUGUCUCCUGAGUUGAAAAAAUCUGAAACGCAGCUGAUUGACAGUUAUUACAUCCAGCAAAGGAACAAAUUCAUCAAAACAACUAAUCCGAAUAUAGAUCAAAAUAUCAAUAAAAGCGACUCUAAUUUGUGGCUGAACACUGAUAAGCUGGGUUUUCGCUCACCCUUAGAUGUGGCUCUUUUAUUCCAGCGGACAGUCAUAAGCCCUUUUUUCAUUGCUUGCCAUGGUUUUCUAGCUGGAGUAGCAGUCAUGCAACUAGUCUUGGCAUAUUAUUUGAUCUCUGGGCAUAAUUUUGAUCAAACUACAUCUGAAACUGUGUUUCGAGUGUAUCAGCAAUUGGCUUUGGUUGGACCCUCUUGCUUUGCAUUUUUCAUCUCAAUUUGUUUCAUGUCUAUAUUGGACAGAGUUGACCUUUUUCACAUUUUCAAGUGUGAUCCUCGUGACUGGAUCUCUUACCGCCGCAGUUGGGUCAUUGGACUCAUUUAUUUCUGUGGCCUUGUCAUCAAUGCUGUUUGUUUCCGAUAUGAUCACAUGAUAUCACACUAUCCGUCAAAGGAUCCUACAAUUGUCAAUUUUCAAGGGACCUCAUCGCCAGAAGUUGUUUCAGACUGGUAUAAAAACCAGAGCAUCUCAUCACUUGUGUCAACUUGGCAAAUUCUGAAUGCUGUAAGAUGUGUCUGUGCCAUUUUAGGAUGGAUUUUGCUUUGCUUUUCUCAGACAACUGACUUGUUAGCUGAUCACUUACAUGAGGUAAAAACUUUUGACUUGGAAACAGAUGAUAAAAUCGUCAUUGAUAACAGACCUAGUUAA